RNAcentral lists this ribosomal RNA (561 nucleotides) under uncultured archaeon. RNAcentral's name for it is "bacterial SSU rRNA". It matches the Rfam family "Archaeal small subunit ribosomal RNA", at positions 176 to 738 of the family's 1478-position model. The record is from RNAcentral.
CGGUUUAUGUUUCAAAUGAUUUAUCGCCAUAGGAUGGGACUGCGGCCUAUCAGUUUGUUGGUGAGGUAAUGGCCCACCAAGACUAUUACAGGUACGGGCUCUGAGAGGAGUAGCCCGGAGAUGGGUACUGAGACACGGACCCAGGCCCUAUGGGGCGCAGCAGGCGAGAAAACUUUGCAAUGUGCGAAAGCACGACAAGGUUAAUCCGAGUGGUUUGUGCUAAACGAACCUUUUGUCGGUCCUAGAAACACCGAUGAAUAAGGGGUGGGCAAGUUCUGGUGUCAGCCGCCGCGGUAAAACCAGCACCUCAAGUGGUCAGGAUGAUUAUUGGGCCUAAAGCAUCCGUAGCCUGCUUUGUAAGUUUUCGGUUAAAUCUGUACGCUCAACGUACAGGCUGCCGGGAAUACUGCAAAGCUAGGGAGUGGGAGAGGUAGACGGUACUCGGUAGGAAGGGGUAAAAUCCUUUGAUCUAUUGAUGACCACCUGUGGCGAAGGCGGUCUACCAGAACACGUCCGACGGUGAGGGAUGAAAGCUGGGGGAGCAAACCGGAUUAGAUACCC